GGAUAGAUGGCCGAGCGGUUUAAGGCGAUAGUCUUGAAAACUAUUGUAUUUAGUAGAUACCGGGGGUUCGAAUCCCUCUCUAUCCU
This 86-nucleotide transfer RNA is filed under the name Tryblionella apiculata. RNAcentral's name for it is "tRNA-Ser". It matches the Rfam family "tRNA". Rfam says of the family: Transfer RNA (tRNA) molecules are approximately 80 nucleotides in length. Their secondary structure includes four short double-helical elements and three loops (D, anti-codon, and T loops). Further hydrogen bonds mediate the characteristic L-shaped molecular structure. tRNAs have two regions of fundamental functional importance: the anti-codon, which is responsible for specific mRNA codon recognition, and the 3' end, to which the tRNAs corresponding amino acid is attached (by aminoacyl-tRNA synthetases). tRNAs cope with the degeneracy of the genetic code in two manners: having more than one tRNA (with a specific anti-codon) for a particular amino acid; and 'wobble' base-pairing, i.e. permitting non-standard base-pairing at the 3rd anti-codon position. The record is from RNAcentral. Lineage: Eukaryota; Bacillariophyta; Bacillariophyceae; Bacillariales; Bacillariaceae.